GGCAGCGUGGCUCAGAGGAAAGAGCACGGACUUGGGAGUCAGAGCUCAUGGGUUUGAAUCCCGACUCUGCCA
This is a non-coding RNA of Ornithorhynchus anatinus (platypus), 72 nucleotides long. NCBI's taxonomy places the organism in Eukaryota, Metazoa, Chordata, Mammalia, Monotremata, Ornithorhynchidae. The record is from Rfam.